GGACCCGCACAAGCAGUGGAGUAUGUGGUUUAAUUCGAGGCAACGCGAAGAACCUUACCAAGGCUUGACAUCCCUUGACAGUCACGGAAACGUGACGUUCCCUUCGGGGACAAGGAGACAGGUGGUGCAUGGUUGUCGUCAGCUCGUGUCGUGAGAUGUUGGGUUAAGUCCCGCAACGAGCGCAACCCCUGCUGCCAGUUGCCAUCAUUAAGUUGGGCACUCUGGCGGGACUGCCGGUGACAAAUCGGAGGAAGGUGGGGAUGACGUCAAAUCAUCAUGCCCCUUAUGUCUUGGGCUACACACGUACUACAAUGGCUACUACAAAAGGAAGCGAAACCGCGAGGCGGAGCGAAUCCCAAAAAGUAGUCUCAGUUCGGAUUGCAGGCUGCAACUCGCCUACAUGAAGUCGGAAUUGCUAGUAAUCGCAGGUCAGCAUACUGCAGUGAAUACGUUCCCGGGUCUU
Molecule: ribosomal RNA, 463 nt
Filed under: uncultured bacterium
Lineage: Bacteria
Description: bacterial SSU rRNA
Rfam family: Bacterial small subunit ribosomal RNA
Source: RNAcentral